Molecule: long non-coding RNA, 1038 nt
Organism: Anthonomus grandis grandis
Lineage: Eukaryota; Metazoa; Arthropoda; Insecta; Coleoptera; Curculionidae
Exons: 3
Source: RefSeq, a predicted model, not a curated record
AGUAAGAUUCCAGAUGUCUUAAACAUGGUAAAAUCUGGAGGGGGAUCCAUUUCGACAGAUUUGGGUUAAUGGUCAUUUUUCAGUUGAGAGUUGAAGACUUCAGCUGGUUUCGCUUUGAGUGAAUUUACAAAUGAAAUACCUUAUCUAGGUAUGAUUUUUUUUUGUGAGUUAAAUUAAAGUUUUGCCGAGGGCAGUUCUAAAGAAACAGACUAAAAAGUUUUUAAAAGGUUUCCUGUGUUAUUUUGUCAUAAAAAUUUCAAAGAAAGGCCACAUUCCAACCUAGCCAUUGUCUAAACCUUGAUAUGGUUUUUGAACGCAGUCGGCGCACCACGUAUGCCCAUCUUAAAUUUGGACGCAUUCAAAUUUUGUCGCAAACUCCUACGGUGCGGGUAUCACAAGCGAUCGCCGCAACGCACGCAUCGCAUUUAGUUAGGACAUACCGUUAUAGGUAGAGGUUCGCUACUAUUUGAAAUCGGUGUUGAAUAAAAAGUUUGGAAUUAGGAUUGGAAAAGACGAAAUGGAACCAGAGGAAUUAUUAGAUCACAACAAUAAAAGACCUAUAAGUUGAUCCAUAAUAGUGAGCGAGUGGACUAAAAGUCUAUUAAGGCUUAAUGUGAAUUAAAAAUGGGUCUCGAGAAACCAACAAGAGAAACUCUAUGAAAAAAAGGUUAAAACCAAAUAUCCCCUGACUGAUGAAUAGAAGGAAUAGUAAAAAAUCUAGAGAAAAAGUCAGUGAAGUCUGAUGAAAAUAGCUUAAAAAUAAGUAUAAUAGUCCAAAGAGAAUAUUAGGAAUCUUUUUUUGGACUAUUAGAAAAUGUAGCAAGGAAUAAGCAAAUAGCGAGAAUUUUGAAUUCCAAAUAUGUUAUGGAGCAUACUUUUUGUACGAUUCUCAAUUUACAUUUAUUUCAAGUUUCGUUUGGUUAAAUAAUUUACCGCUUCGGCUCUAGAUACCUUAAUUAAGUUUUUAAGCAUCACUGCUAAAUGACAGCAUGGUAUAAAAGUGAAAAUAAUACUCAUUUGCUUAUAUGGUUUUUAUUC